AUUUUCGGCAAUGGGGGGAACCCUGACCGAGCAACGCCGCGUGAAGGAAGAAGGAAUUCGUUCUGUAAACUUCUGUUAUAAAGGAAGAAAGGAUGCCGGAGGGAAUGCCGGCAGAGUGACGGUACUUUAUGAGAAAGCCACGGCUAACUACGUGCCAGCAGCCGCGGUAAUACGUAGGUGGCGAGCGUUAUCCGGAAUUAUUGGGCGUAAAGAGGGAGCAGGCGGUCGUAAGGGUCCAUCGGUAAAAGACCGGGGCUAAACUCCGGGAAGGCGAGGAAACCGUACGACUAGAGUACAGCAGAGGAUCGUGGAAUUCCAUGUGUAGCGGUGAAAUGCGUAGAUAUAUGGAGGAACACCAGUGGCGAAGGCGACGAUCUGGGCUGAAACAGACGCUGAGUCCCGAAAGCGUGGGGAGCAAAUA
Molecule: ribosomal RNA, 421 nt
Filed under: uncultured bacterium
Lineage: Bacteria
Description: bacterial SSU rRNA
Rfam family: Bacterial small subunit ribosomal RNA
Source: RNAcentral